This 223-nucleotide ribosomal RNA is filed under the name uncultured bacterium. RNAcentral describes it as "partial 16S ribosomal RNA". It matches the Rfam family "Bacterial small subunit ribosomal RNA", at positions 328 to 539 of the family's 1533-position model. The record is from RNAcentral.
ACGCUCGACACCUACGGGAGGCAGCAGUAGGGAAUCUUCCACAAUGGACGCAAGUCUGAUGGAGCAACGCCGCGUGAGUGAAGAAGGUCUUCGGAUCGUAAAACUCUGUUGUUAGAGAAGAACACGAGUGAGAGUAACUGUUCAUUCGAUGACGGUAUCUAACCAGCAAGUCACGGCUAACUACGUGCCAGUAGCCGCGGUAAUCUGAGCGGGCUGGCAAGGC